Molecule: ribosomal RNA, 253 nt
Filed under: uncultured bacterium
Lineage: Bacteria
Description: partial 16S ribosomal RNA
Rfam family: Bacterial small subunit ribosomal RNA
Source: RNAcentral
UACGUAGGGGGCAAGCGUUGUCCGGAUUUAUUGGGCGUAAAGAGCGUGUAGGCGGUCUGGUAGGUCCGUUGUGAAAAUUCGAGGCUCAACCUCGAGACGCCGAUGGAAACCAUCAGACUAGAGUCCGGAAGAGGAGAGUGGAAUUCCUGGUGUAGCGGUGAAAUGCGCAGAUAUCAGGAAGAACACCCGUGGCGAAGGCGGCUCUCUAGUACGGUACUGACGCUGAGACGCGAAAGCGUGGGGAGCGAACAGG